This 76-nucleotide transfer RNA is filed under the name Phytohabitans houttuyneae. RNAcentral's name for it is "tRNA-Leu". Lineage: Bacteria; Bacillati; Actinomycetota; Actinomycetes; Micromonosporales; Micromonosporaceae. The record is from RNAcentral.
GCCCUCGUAGCCCAACUGGCAGAGGCGCCGUCCCGAGAUGGCGGUCACGUGCGCGUUCGACUCGCGCCGAGGGCAC